Molecule: ribosomal RNA, 253 nt
Filed under: uncultured bacterium
Lineage: Bacteria
Description: partial 16S ribosomal RNA
Rfam family: Bacterial small subunit ribosomal RNA
Source: RNAcentral
UACAGAGACUGCAAGCGUUAUUCGGAUUCACUGGGCGUAAAGGGUGCGCAGGCGGCCGUGUGUGUCAGGUGUGAAAGCCCGGAGCUUAACUCCGGAAUUGCGCCUGAAACUACAUGGCUAGAGCAUUGGAGAGGGUAGCGGAAUUCACGGUGUAGCAGUGAAAUGCGUAGAUAUCGUGAGGAACACCGGUGGCGAAGGCGGCAUCCUGGACCAACACUGACACUGAGGAGCGAAAGCCAGGGGAGCAAACGGG